Molecule: ribosomal RNA, 467 nt
Filed under: uncultured bacterium
Lineage: Bacteria
Description: partial 16S ribosomal RNA
Rfam family: Bacterial small subunit ribosomal RNA
Source: RNAcentral
GACGAACGCUGGCGGCGUGCUUAACACAUGCAAGUCGAACGGAAAGGCCUCUUUCGGGGGGUACUCGAGUGGCGAACGGGUGAGUAACACGUGAGUAACCUGCCCUUGACUUUGGGAUAACUUCAGGAAACUGGGGCUAAUACCGGAUAGGAGCUCCUGCUGCAUGGUGGGGGUUGGAAAGUUUCGGCGGUUGGGGAUGGACUCGCGGCUUAUCAGCUUGUUGGUGGGGUAGUGGCUUACCAAGGCUUUGACGGGUAGCCGGCCUGAGAGGGUGACCGGUCAAAUUGGGACUGAGAUACGGCCCAGACGCCUACGGGAGGCAGCAGUGGGGAAUAUUGCAAAAUGGGUGGAAGCAUGAUGCAGCAACGCCGUGUGCGGGAUGACGGCCUUCGGGUUGUAAACCGCUUUCGCUCAUGACGAAGCUUUGUGUGACGGUAGUGGGUAAAGAAGCACCGGCUAACUACGUG